CAAUAGCGUAUAUUAAAGUUGUUGCAGUUAAAAAGCUCGUAGUUGGACUUCUGAUGUGGAGGGACGGUCCGCCUCACGGUGAGCACUGAUUCUUCACGUCUUCCUCUCGUAGUCUUUUGGCGCACUUAGUUGGGUGCCUUUAGAAUAUGGGACCUUUACUUUGAAAAAAUUAGAGUGUUCAAAGCAGGCAAUCGCUUGAAUACAUUAGCAUGGAAUAAUAGAAUAGGACUUUGGUUCUAUUUUGUUGGUUUCUAGGACCGAAGUAAUGAUUAAUAGGGACAGUUGGGGGCAUUAGUAUUUAAUUGUCAGAGGUGAAAUUCUUGGAUUUAUGAAAGACUAACUACUGCGAAAGCAUUUGCCAAGGAUGUUUUCAUUAAUCAAGAACGAAAGUUAGGGGAUCGAAGACGAUCAGAU
This 414-nucleotide ribosomal RNA is filed under the name uncultured eukaryote. RNAcentral's name for it is "SSU rRNA". It matches the Rfam family "Eukaryotic small subunit ribosomal RNA", at positions 592 to 1013 of the family's 1831-position model. The record is from RNAcentral.